RNAcentral lists this ribosomal RNA (502 nucleotides) under uncultured bacterium. Its description in RNAcentral is "partial 16S ribosomal RNA". It matches the Rfam family "Bacterial small subunit ribosomal RNA", at positions 29 to 523 of the family's 1533-position model. The record is from RNAcentral.
AUUGAACGCUGGCGGAAUGCUUUACACAUGCAAGUCGAACGGCAGCACGGGUGCUUGCACCUGGUGGCGAGUGGCGAACGGGUGAGUAAUACAUCGGAACGUACCCAGUCGUGGGGGAUAACGUAGCGAAAGUUACGCUAAUACCGCAUACGUCCUGAGGGAGAAAGCGGGGGACCGUAAGGCCUCGCGCGAGUGGAGCGGCGGAUGGCGAGUUAGCUAGUUGGGGGGGUAAAGGCCUACCAAGGCGACGAUUCGUAGCGGGUCUGAGAGGACGGCCCGCCACACUGGAACUGAGACACGGUCCAGACUCCUACGGGAGGCAGCGGUGGGGAAUUUUGGACAAUGGGCGAAAGCCUGAUCCAGCCAUUCCGCGUGAGUGAAGAAGGCCUUCGGGUUGUAAAGCUCUUUCGGCAGGGAAGAAACGGCUUGGGAUAAUACCCCGGGCUAAUGACGGUACCUGAAGAAGAAGCACCGGCUAACUACGUGCCAGCAGCCGCCGUAA